CGGGUGAGUAACACGUGGGCAACCUUUCCUAUCGCGGGGGAUAACACCGGGAAACCGAUGCUAAUACCGCAUGUCGUCACUGGUCGCAUGGCUGGUGAAGAAAGCAGCAAUGCACGAUGGGGUGGGCCCGCGGCCUAUCAGCUAGUCGGUGGGGUAACGGCCUACCGAGGCGAUGACGGGUAGCUGGUCUGAGAGGACGACCAGCCACACGGGACUGAGACACGGCCCG
RNAcentral lists this ribosomal RNA (229 nucleotides) under uncultured bacterium. RNAcentral describes it as "partial 16S ribosomal RNA". It matches the Rfam family "Bacterial small subunit ribosomal RNA", at positions 103 to 334 of the family's 1533-position model. The record is from RNAcentral.